This 63-nucleotide ribosomal RNA is filed under the name Hime japonica. Lineage: Eukaryota; Metazoa; Chordata; Actinopteri; Aulopiformes; Aulopidae. The record is from RNAcentral.
CCGGCUUGGUUAGUACUUGGAUGGGAGACCGCCUGGGCAAUACCAGGUGCUGUAAACCUUUUC